CAAACACACGGCGUAAUCAGUAGCAUCCGGGGGUCUCUGUCUGGGCAUUUUGCAUUUCAUAGACUAUAAUAAUAUGCCUUAGAGGCAUCGGGGUGCGAUAAUCCUCAGCACAGGCGCACAGAGAGAGCGAGGAGUAUCGCAUCCUGUCAUUUUCACCAUGUGUUCUUCACUCUAAUUGGCGUCCUGCUGCUCAUUGCAGAGGCAGCCUGAUUGAGCAAUGAGCCGGUGACUCUCGCGAUGGCCGAAAGCGCGUCUAUAGCCACAGGAUCGCGUGUUAUACCUAACGACAUUUUAUUUCACUCGGCGCUCCCGUUCCGUUUCCUCAUCUCCUACCAGUCUUCUUAUUAUCUAAUUCCACACAGCUGAACGAACAAGCGUGAAUCUGCAUAAAUUCCACGUACGGUUUAUUUAUUUAUUUUUUAUUUUUUAUUUUUUCCUUUUGUGUAUGCGCACACAAUCACGUCGAUUUGUUUGCCAUGGUUUCGUUAAUACAUAUUUAUAUGCAGAUGAAGACAUUAAGCUACCAUUAGCUCAAUCACAACAGCUCAUUCACACGAGGGCUCAAGCCGUGUAACAAGCAUUCAGCUUCCAUUAUACACCCUGUUUAAAAGUCUCUCAAAGUUUUCUGAUUUGCUAACUUUUUUUAAGCGAGAGAAUAAGCAUGUAUUCGUUUUGAGGAGCUGUCUUAAAAAUAGCAGCGUUCAAGCAUCCUGUAUAGGAGAUUCAGUCCUUCAUACACAAUGCAUCGGAGUUAUUUUCGAGCUUAUGUAAUCUGAAGUGCAGGUUUGGGACUAAAUGUUUCCAUUCUGUCAACUGAGACAUGUCUCUCUGCCAGAGAUUUUGCUGAUCAUGCUUUCAGGAUUUUACGUCGCGAAUCAUCCACGUUAAGUUUGAGCGGUUCAACAGUCGGAGAAUAAGAGGUGAAGUGUUAGUCUGGUAUUCGUUAAAUAUUCACGUGUAGAGAGGAAAAAGGCGAGCAGAGGUGCAGGAAGAUAUCUUGGUUUGGCAACUUUUCAAAGCAGCCUUUCCACUAGCUUUAUUUUCAUCAUGUUUGUCUUAAUCGGUUUAAUCCUCAUCAGGCUUGACAUUUCAUGUAAAUUCAAUUUGACGAUCGAACACUCGGAUAUUAGUCCGUUUUUAUAAGUUGUUUUAAAUCUCUGUGUGUGUGUGUGUGUGUGUUAACCAAUCAAGCAUAUCAUAGGCUUAGUGAGUCGCCUGACAGCUCUGGGGUUGGGGGUUCGAAUCUCAUCCCCGCCCUGUGUGUGUGUAGAGUUUGCAUGUUCUCUCCGUGCUUUGGCGGUUGCCUCCGGGUACUCUGGUUUCCUCCUGUACCCCAAAGAUAGGCAUUUCUAAAUUGUCUGUAGUGUGUGAACGUGUGUGCGGUUGUGCCCUGCGAUGGAUUGGCACCCCAUCCAGGGUGUCCCCUGCCUUGUGCACCGAGUUCCUUGGGGUAGGCUCCAGGCUCCUUGCGACCCUGUGUAGGAUAAGCGGUACGGAAGAUGGAUGGAUGGAUGUCAUGCUAUUCCUAUGGUGCCUUUUAUUGCUUAGGUGUUUGGGACAUUUAGGUUUAGGGUUUAGCGUUCGUCUGAUAUUAGUAGGGUUAUGUAAUAUUAUUAAUGAUGGUAAAUUCCAUAAAUAUCCAUAUAAACGGAAGUGCUAUGCUAAUACGGUCUUUUAACAUAACCCAGACAGAAUGGAUGUUGCUACCUAGCUUUCAGGAGUAAACAGUAAGGAAGUACUGGAAGCAAUGGUUUGCUUUAAAACACUGACUGUUAGCUGUAAAGCCAAACAUGGACAUCCACCUGCCUGAAGACACUUGCUUAUCAAACCCAGAUCUGUACUACGUUCCUGACUUGACCCCCACUAUUCCUUAAGGAUGACGUGAAUCAAGGCUCUCCUCUGUCCUCGCACCCCGACGGUGGAACGAACUUCCCCUGGCUGUCUGAACAGCUGAGUCACUAUCUGUCUUCAAACGAAGACUCAAGACCCACCUCUUUAACUAGAACUUAAGCAACACAAAAAAAAAAAAAGACUUGUAUUGCUUUCUUGCCAUACUAUCUCAAUGUACACUGUCCUCUCGAACAGCUUGAUAUUCCUAGCUCCUGAUCCAUUUGUACUAGAUUGAGGAUAUGUUUUUGACGGGCUCUAUAAAACAUUCUUGUAAGCCAGUCCGCAUAAAGGCUACGUAAACGUAUUGGCCACGGGAGCUCGCUCAACAUGCCGUAGGUUGAGUCAGCGCUUUGCGAGGAUGUUUGGAAAUUGACGCAUUAACAUUGAGAAGUCGGAACGUGGAAGUCCGAUAUCAUGUUCGGACGCUGUGGUGGCAGCCAGCCGACUGUAGGGAGUGUAACGUGUCACUUAGUGUGCUUUCUACCACUUAGCAGACCACAGGCUUAGGCUUUUUAAGUAGAUUAAGAUUUAAGUACAUUUUUAAAAAUUUGAUCCGUUCCAAAUUGGCGGCUGGGAAAAGUACUUUGAUGGCUCGUCUUAAGCUUACAGUGCCAGUGAACUUCCACUGUUAUUUAAUUGAUGUUGUAUGCUGGAUUUAGACUUACUUAUGUAUUUCUGUCCACAACAGCAUUAGUGAGAUCAGUAACUGAUGUUGUGUGAGGACGUCUGGGGUGCAGGCGGUGUUCCAGUUCAUCCCAAAGGUGUUCAGUGGUGUCGAGGUCAGGGUUCUGUUCAGGACACUCAAGUUCUUCCACUCAAUCCUUCUCAAACCAUGUCUUCAUGGAGCUCGCUUUGUGCACAGGUUUGAGCCUCUUAGUGCCAGUGAAGGGAAAAUGAAGAGACAUUCUCUGUUAUUGUGUGCUUUGAGGUAACAGUUUGGGAAAGAAGCACAUGGGUGUGAUGUUCAGGUGUCCACAAGCGUCUGGAAGCUGGUAAGGAAUGUAAAUACGGACUCACUAAUGGUUCCUUGGAGAUGAAAAGGUUAAUGAGUGAUGCACUGCACAGCGGAUCGUGUCACUGCCUGACAGCCCCAGACUCCUUGUUAAUUCCUGAGCUCCGGUUACUGAUGACGCAGAGUUUCAUGCGUCUGUCUGGGUCUCCUCCAGGUGUUCUGGUUUCCUCCCCGAGUGUGUGAAUGUGUAUGUGCAUGGUGGCCACGUGCUUUUUUUUUUUUCAUCGGACAUGGGCACUCUGAGCGGUCUGCAGCUACGCAGCCCCAUACACAGCAAGCUGUGAUGCGCUGUGUGUUCUGACAACGUUCUAUCAGAGCCAGCAUUAACCUCUUCAGCAAUUUGUGCUACAGUAG
Molecule: long non-coding RNA, 3256 nt
Organism: Ictalurus punctatus (channel catfish)
Lineage: Eukaryota; Metazoa; Chordata; Actinopteri; Siluriformes; Ictaluridae
Source: Ensembl